UUUAUGUCAAUCAAAAAGAUGCUCGGGAAUGUUAUGCAGCAGGCUUAAAGAUGAAUUUAAGAGCAAACCAUGAUACUGAAAGAAUGGUGGCAAUGGCCGAUUUGGACCCAAGAAUAAAUGACGAAAGGAUAGAACCAAAAGAAGAGACCACAGCUGUGGUAUUGGGUCAAGACGAGAAGCAAUGCACUUAUGUAAGUGGAAGUUUG
RNAcentral lists this long non-coding RNA (206 nucleotides) under Phaseolus vulgaris (common bean). Its description in RNAcentral is "long non-coding RNA (PVUL_LNC002499)". Lineage: Eukaryota; Viridiplantae; Streptophyta; Magnoliopsida; Fabales; Fabaceae. The record is from RNAcentral.